UUUUGUUUUGAAUGAAGAAAAUGUUCAAACGUUUCAUCAAAACAAUAAUAAUAAUCCCACCAGAGUGAGGAUCGCGUGAGCAUUAUUUGCCAGAUCCGCAUAAACAAAAGCACGCACGCAAGCAAGCAUUUCGUGUUCCUUAUCUCUCUCUGCGUGUCGCUGCAUUUCCCUCUCUCUCUCUUACCAAAACCCUAAAUCUACCCUUUCUUAUAUGUAUAUGGAAGAGAAAGAGUAAUCAGAAACAGCAAUCAAUCGCAGCAUCGAUUCAACUAUGGAGUCAGAACUUAAAGACCUGAAUUCGAAACCGCCGAAAUCAAAUGGCAAUAGCAAUAGCAUUCGGGAUGAUCGUCCUCUGCUGAAGUCGGAGUCGCUCUUCUCCGACAGCGCGGUGGAACUCCAAGACCUCGAGAAGAAAUUCGCCGCGUAUGUUAGGCGCGACGUGUACGGAACUAUGGGUCGCGGAGAGUUGCCUACAAAGGAGAAGCUCUUGCUCGGUUUCGCUUUAGUUACUCUUCUCCCUAUUAGAGUCCUUCUCGCUGUCACCAUCUUGCUCUUCUAUUACUUCAUUUGUAGGGUUUGUACACUCUUCUCUGCGCCUAAUCGUGAGGACGAGCAAGAAGAUUACGCUCACAUGGGUGGCUGGAGGAGAACCGUUAUUGUUGCCUGUGGGAGAGCUCUCUCUAGAGCCAUGCUCUUCAUUUUCGGCUUUUAUUGGAUCCCCGAAUCCCGCCAUGCUGUUCUCAACUCUACCUCUCAGGAAGACAAGCAUCAGCCUGAAGAGUUGGGAAGACCUGGUGUCAUAAUAUCUAAUCAUGUGUCAUACUUGGAUAUUUUAUAUCACAUGUCAUCCUCGUUCCCAAGUUUUGUUGCUAAGAGAUCAGUGGCUAAACUUCCUCUUGUUGGUCUCAUCAGCAAGUGCCUUGGUUGUGUCUAUGUUCAGCGGGAAUCAAAGUCAUCGGACUUCAAGGGUGUUUCAGCUGUUGUUACUGAAAGAAUUCGAGAAGCUCAUCAGAAUAAGUCUGCUCCAUUCAUGAUGUUAUUUCCAGAAGGUACAACCACAAAUGGAGACUUCCUCCUUCCGUUCAAGACUGGUGGUUUUUUGGCAAAGGCACCAGUACUUCCUGUGAUUUUAAGAUAUCAUUACCAGAGAUUUAGCCCCGCCUGGGAUUCCAUAUCUGGGGUGCGACAUGUGAUAUUUCUCCUCUGUCAGUUUGUAAAUUAUAUGGAGGUUGUUCAAUUUCCUGUUUACUAUCCCUCACAGCAGGAGAUGGAUGACCCCAAACUAUAUGCUAAUAAUGUUAGAAGGCUAAUGGCUACUGAGGGUAAUUUGAUACUUUCCGAUAUUGGACUAGCCGAAAAACGAAUAUAUCAUGCUGCUCUCAAUGGUAAUAAUAGCCUGCCUAGUGUUUUGCAUCAGAAAGACGAUUGAUAAUUUCAUGGCCCCGGUGUCAAAUGAUAUGUAGUUUCAGUCGAGUUUUCAGUUUUGAACUUGGUAUUUGAUUAUGAAUGGAGAGCUUGCGUGAGGUUUGUUUUCCCAAUGCUAAUUCUUCGGAUUCGUGGUCUGUAUAUUCCUUGUAUGGUUCCAUUAUUUAUCAGGAAAGAAAAAGAAAUCAAUAUAGAAAAUUCUGUGCAGAACAAGUAUUAUAUUUGAAAAUGUAAUUAUCUGAUAAGUUAACUGCCUCUGGAGC
Molecule: RNA transcript, 1688 nt
Organism: Abrus precatorius (Indian licorice)
Lineage: Eukaryota; Viridiplantae; Streptophyta; Magnoliopsida; Fabales; Fabaceae
Gene name: lysophospholipid acyltransferase LPEAT1
Exons: 9
Source: RefSeq, a predicted model, not a curated record